GAGCACAACGCGGACAUGAGAGCUAGCGCUGGGCAACAAGCUAUCCAGCUAUAAAAACACCAACCUCACUCAAUAAUUCCCGUUUUUGCGGGGAAAAAAAUGGUGAAACAGACGAUACAGAUAUAUGGCCGGAUUAAACCCAUUAAGAAAACUACAACGGUGUACUCUGUGAACAAUGAGGAGCAGACAGGAGCUUUUCUGGAAUUCUUGGUUCCCCGGGACCUCGCUGAUGGCUUUGUCAACAACAAGAGGGAGUGCUACAAGUUCAGGUUCUUAAAGGUGUUUGAUCAAACUGUUGAACAAGAAGAGGUAUUUGAAAACAUUGCCAAACCAGUUGCUGACAGUGUGUUGGAUGGCUACAAUGGCACCAUAUUUGCCUAUGGCCAGACGGGCAGUGGGAAGACUUUCACCAUCACAGGAGGGGCCGAGCGCUACAGUGAUCGUGGAAUUAUCCCCCGCACCCUUUCCUACCUGUACGAACGCUUCAGCCAGGACAGCAGUAUGGUUUAUACCACACACAUCUCCUACUUGGAGAUCUAUAACGAGACGGGAUAUGACCUCCUGGAUUCCCGCCACGAAGCGUCUCGACUGGAGGAUCUACCAAAGGUGCUGAUUAUGGAAGAUCCAGACCAGAACAUCCAUCUGAGGAACCUGUCUCUGCAACAGUCAGCAAAUGAGGAGGAGGCUUUGAAUCUGCUCUUCCUUGGAGACACCAAUCGUAUGAUUGCAGAGACUCCCAUGAACCACGCGUCCACACGCUCUCACUGUAUUUUCACCGUGCACUUGUGCAGACGAGAGCCGGGCUCGGCCACCGUGCGGCGCUCCAAGCUCCACCUGGUGGACCUGGCCGGAUCGGACAGAGUGAGCAAGACAGGCCUGAAUGGGCAGCUGCUCACUGAGGCCAAGUACAUCAACCUCUCCCUACACUACUUGGAGCAGGUGAUCAUUGCUUUGUCAGAGAAGAACCGGUCCCAUAUUCCCUACAGGAACUCCAUGCUGACCUCUGUGUUGAGGGACAGCCUCGGGGGCAACUGCAUGACGACCAUGAUCGCCACCAUGGCAGUGGACAGGAGGAACCUUGAUGAAUCCAUCUCUACUUGUCGCUUUGCCCAGCGUGUGGCUCUCAUUAAGAACGAAGCCACCCUGAAUGAAGAGCUGGAUCCUGCCCUGCUAAUAGCCCGUCUGAAGAGGGAGAUCCAGUCUCUAAAGGAAGAGCUGACCAUGGUGACGGGAGAACAGAGAGACGGGCAGCUGACUGUGGGGGAGAUCCAGAGGUUGGAAGAGUUAGUCAAGGCCUUUCUGGACGACCCUGAUCCAGACUUGAUGCUGUCGUUGGGAUCAGACAUGAGAAAAAUCCAGUUCUGUUUCUCCCUGCUGAAGAUUAUGAUCAUGGACAAGCAAAGAGGAGGAAAUGGGAAUGCUGAUGGGAAAGCAUCAUGGACUGCAGCAGAGAGGGAAGACAGCCAACAGUCAGCAGCAGAAGUCUCCAAACUGAAAGAGAUGAUGACACAACGUGACAAUGAGAUCAGUAUCCUAGUUAAGAUGUUGAAGAAGGAGAAAAAAAGAGCCCAGGAUGCUGCUGCUCAGCUUGCUAACGCCGCCAAUGGCCAAAGAAUGGCCUUCCAGGGUGCCUCGGGGUUAUCAACAAUGCCACUGUUGAGGGAAGGGAGCCCAGACAGCAUCUCAACCGACCAUGGAGAACGAGCCAUAGAGCACAUGAAAAGAGGUCCACAGCUGUCUAUGGGGAAGCAAGAGGCCUUUGAGAUCUUCAUAAGAGACCAUAAGGACCAUCUGACCGUUGAAGACAACAAGAAGCUGCUCAAACAGAGGUCAGCUGCGGCCAGAAGCAUUGGAGAGGAACUGAACGAGGCUAGAAACAGAAUAAAUGAGUUGAAGAAGCAGCUGGAGAUGCAGAGGAGACAGAGGGCAGCUCAUGCUGUAAUGCAGAAUCACCCAGAGGUCGAGGAGGAGUACGACCCCGUGGAGGAAAGCCUGUGCAAACACAUAGAGCAGGAAAAAAAGUUUUACAAGAGCACCAUCGGCCGUCUCAAAGCUCUGAGGACGGAGAUCGAGCACCUGCAGCUGCUGUUGGAGAGGGCAAAGGUCAAGCUCCAGAAAGACUUCCAUCAGUGGUGGAGCAGGGAGGCUUCCAGCGUGCAGUGUGACCCUAUGAGCCUCUGUUCAGCAUCAUGCUGAAUGGGCCCUGGUGGGAAAAUAUGGAGGAGGAAACUCAGUUUUACAGAACUCCAUGUGGCCCGGACUAGAGCCAGGAGAACAGCAACAGCAUCAAUACAGUGUGGGAAGAUAGGGUCUUAACCAGGACAACAUGGUCAUGAGGGUUCUCAACAACACAAGGGGGGAUAAGAAGUGAGUCAAUGUUUAUUUUUAGUCAAUAAAAUGAACCUUCUCUUUGUGCCUGAUUACUUAAAGGGAUGUUUUGAAGUGGGGUUGAAUGAAGUAUGUUAUAGUCAGUGUUUUAGCUACAGUAGAUGGCAGAUGGAACGCUCCCAUUUAGGAGAGGCAGACUGUAGUGAAUCCACUUAGACUAAGCGAUGUACUGCUAUUCUUAAAGAAAGGCCCACAUAAUAAUAUUUAUGAUAUAUUUAGAAUAUUUUUGACCCCUAAAUGGACUCUGGAGGCAUUGAUGAAAGCUUCCGUUCAUCCUAAAUGUCCCAGGGCAAGAUAAUAUUGAAAUAAAUACAUAUAUAUAUUAUAAAUAUAGCAAACAUAUUGAUUCUCUUAAGUAGGCUUUCCUUUCAGGGGGUUAAAAUACAGGUCGCUGCAACCCCCUGUCCACUGAAGCACAUUGCUGGUUUUAAGGGAGCUUGCCUGUAAUUGAAGUAUGGCUAAGUACCUCAUACAACCUCAUUCGAAAACAUUCAAAUUAUCCCUUUAAAAAAACAUGUGUUCAGUAAACAUAAAAUUUGAAUUGAGAUUUGCCAAAAUCACACUCUUUGCCUGGCCUUGAUGGCUGGUUUUCACAUUUUGGAAACCACAGAAGAAGAUGCAAAGCAGCAACAUCUGACCAGCAGACACUGCUGUCUUUUAAACUUUGGUUUCGGUCCCAUGAAGACGGAAUAAAUGUUUCACUCGCAUCCGAGCAAGGUUUGGGAAUUUAUCACUGGAAAGGAAAGGAAGUCUGACAGACAGACCUUAGAUGUGCAGUUUUUAGUCUUCCAAACAGGAAGCUGGCCGUUUUCCGUGCCAGUACUCUUGUAUCUGACAGCUUUGUUCAACCAUUUAUUGUUCUGUUUUCUGGAAAGCGAUACACAUGUUAUUGAUCAGACUGUGAGUAAGAUAUAUGAUGGAGCUAAAGAAGAGAACAUACCUCCCGAGGUCUUCAGCUAGCUGUCAGUAACAUAUGGCCGCAUUGUGUUUGACUGUCAGCGGUAUGGAAUGGUGUUUGCUGAGAAGUCUUCCAGAGUUUCUCAAUGAUUGUUCCUAGGAGUCGGAGGCCACAGCCAGAAGUCACACAGGGUCGCCAAGUGGAACCUCGCAGCCGUCUUCACCCAGCACUCCAGGAUUCCGUGCACCUGUUCUGAGCAGCACAGUCAGGGACUCUCCAUCAGAACCACACCCAGUCCAC
This is an RNA transcript of Eleginops maclovinus (Patagonian blennie), 3586 nucleotides long. It is a transcript of the gene named kinesin family member 6, with no coding region annotated. The transcript is spliced from 20 exons. NCBI's taxonomy places the organism in Eukaryota, Metazoa, Chordata, Actinopteri, Perciformes, Eleginopidae. The record is from RefSeq and is a predicted model, not a curated record.